This 5526-nucleotide long non-coding RNA is filed under the name Podarcis lilfordi (Lilford's wall lizard). Lineage: Eukaryota; Metazoa; Chordata; Lepidosauria; Squamata; Lacertidae. The record is from RNAcentral.
GCGCCGUAGCGCCAGGAAGCAAAAGGCAGGCCUUUCUUUACCACCCCUCGCCUCUUGCCCUUCGCUGCCUCCGACACGACGACGCGGCCGCCGCCAUGCCGAAGCUGAGCAAAGAGUCCAAGCAGCGCCUGCAGCACUUGUUCAAGGGCGGGCAGUUUGCCAUCCGGUGGGGCUUCAUCCCGGUAGUACUCUACCUAGGUCAGUUCUGAGCUGGGGACAGCGAGUAGGUUGCCGCGGGCAGCUUGGUCACGGAAGACUCGGUAUACUCUGACUUGAGGCAGGCGGCGGGGGCGGGGCGGGGCAGCUUCCCGAACCGUUAACGGUCCGUUAACGGUCUUCCCGUCAACGGCUGGUUCGAGCGCGCGUGGCGCGUCUUCUUGGAACGCGGCGGCGAUAGUGACGCAACCGAGAGGAACUCGCGCGGUGGGGCGAGUCACGUGGCCGAUUCCCCUCAGCUCCUCGUGAUUAGCGGGGAGAGCGCCCUGUGGGGCAGAAGCGGCUCCUUGCACUUACCCGCUUCCGUUCCCUGAACCCAAAUUCUCCGCUUCACAGCUCACUUUAGCGCUGGUAGUUUCGGAUUUAACCUAGAGAAAAGGCAGGCAGGCUGCAUCGUGAAAGCCCUCCUGUUUUUUCUUCCCUUUCCUAGUACUCGUUGGAAGGCGAGCUUGUGUGAAUAUGGUGAUAGAAGGAUCUCCUGUGACCUUCAGUGUUUUCCAAACUCGGUCUCCAGCUGUUUUCGGACUAGAAUUCCCAUCACCCCUGACCUUACUGGUCUUGCCCGCUAGGGAUGAUGGGAGUUGUAGUCCCAAAAACAGCUGGAGACCCGAGUUUGGGAAACACUGCUUCAGACUGUCUGUGGGCGACACAACUGUUGGAUGCUCUUGUGCGCUGAAAGUUAUAUCACCUUGCAAGAAGAAAUUAUUAUAUCCAGCAGUAAGCUGGGCUACAUUUGUCUCUCUGGUGUGCUAGCUUUCUGCUUGAGUGAGCUGAAUGGAGGAAUGGGUGAAUAAUCACCGACAAUCUCCCCACCCCAGUUUGCAAGACAGACUGAAGUUGCUUAUAAAUAGUUUUAGUUUUCAGAAUUCUGUAUUUCACGAUUAUGUGAACUCCUAAAUGUGUUUAAGCAUGACACAAAGGUAAACAUGGUUAAAAUUGCUCACAGGUGUGUUAUUUCUUUUGUGGUAUCAGGAGUUUGCUUAGAAGUCAGCAGAUUUCUGAAAACUAGAGGCCAAUUUUUAGAAUGUUCUUAGAAUUGCCCAGGCCAAGCUCAAUUAGUUCAGCAAUGAUUCUGUUCUAUGAAGUGUCAUUGACAACUUCUUUUUCAUUUGCUGGGAAAUAAAUUAUUCCGUUAUCCAUGGGCCUGCUGUGCAGGACAUUUCUUACUGAAUUCCAUUAACAAUGCAGUAAAGUCCUAUUUAUUAGUAAGAUCAGAGACUGUCUUUCUCUGUCUGGUGGAUUUGGUGGGCAACAUACAUCAUGCCACAAAAUAAGGACUGUUUUAGAUGUCAGAGAUACUUUUAGAAGAGUAUUCUUUCUUUAGAAGAGUAUUCUUUCUUCCCAGGCAGAUUAUCAGUGCAAUUCUAACUUGGAAUCUAUCUAAAUCCUAAUACAUUUAAUGGUGCUUACACUCAGGUAAGUAUGGGGUUAGGCUUGCAGCCCAAGUCACCUGCUGGUGCAGAGGAGUGGGGUUUUCAAUGUGUGUUGCUGAGCACGCAAUAGAAUGGACCCCUUUCUUUGCACUUCUACUUUAUGGCAUGUUGGGGUGGGGAGUGCAGGAGACUGUAUCAAAGUGCAAUGCUAUCUAUUACAUUACUGUGGCUAGUCAUGUGUGCAUUAAUUCUAGAAAUAUUUAUUAUAUGUAAAAGCAAUAAUAUAUUCAUGAUAUAAACUGACAGAUACAUUGUUUGUAACUAGGAUUUAAGAGAGGUGCAGAUCCUGGAAUGCCUGAGCCAACCGUUCUGAGGUAUGUUUUCACUAGUUAAUACCUCAGCAGAAAUAAUGCCUGCUAAAGGAGAAAAUAGAACAUGUGCUUUGUGAUUAACUUGGAGGGGAGAGUUUGAAACUUAUGCUACAAUCCUACACUCACUUACCUAAGGGUAAGUCCCAUUCCAUUUAUACAUCUCUUACACGUGCACUUACAGAAAUAUCACACAAAUUAUAUUUUAACUGUUGCUAUAUUCUCAUGUAAGGUGUAGGUCAGGAUUUGGUGCUACCAUUUUUUAAUUUAAGGGACACACCAUAAGAAGGAAAUGUUCUAUCUUUUGGUUGCUGACUUAAGUAUAUCAUCAAGAGAUAUGACCUGAUUGUGUCAAGUCCUCUUUCUCUUGGAAUGAGCUUGCUUCAGUAACAUUACAAACCAAGAACUGGUAACCAUCGAAUGAUUUAAACACCGACAGCUUACCCUGCUUGAAACUGAAUUUUUAAAAGGGCAGUGUAUGUUGUUUGUUGUUUGAUCAAUGUACAAGGCAUAGGCCUUCUGUUUCAUUUUGUUGUUGCCUGAUGGCACUAAUAAGGCCUCGUGGAAAAUAUGAGUGGUUACAUGUUAAGAGUUGGAAUGAGGUGGAGAGUAGGAGCCUAAUAAAACUAGACUAAUAAAGCCUAAUAAAAAGCCUAAUAAAGCCUAAUAAAACUAAUCCACUCUGAAGCCUAACAGUUUGUUUUCCAAACAGACUGUUAGGCUUCAGAGUGGAUUAGUGGGAGAAACUUUUUUUUUUUUUUUUUUUUGCUGUUGCUGAGGCAUGAAUAAGUAUAAAGUUUAUGAAUGACUACUAAUGUUACUCCUACUGAGAGUAAGUCAAUUUAAAUCAGUGGGCUUAAGUCAAUUGAUUUCAGUUGGUCUGUUUUGAGAAUGAUUUAGUUGUAUAUGACCAGUCAGAAUCUACCUUCCAGGUAUUGGUGGACUCCCACCAUUCCUGGGGCUGAUAUGAGUUAAAGUCCAACAACAUCUGAAAGGUGACAGGUCCCCACCUGUGUCCUAUGUGAUCUCAGAGGUGGUUUAAAAUUUGCUGGUUUUUUUGUUUUGUUUUUUAAAUUCAAAACAAACCAGAUUGGCAGAAGGACUUUCCUUUCUUAUAAAAUUCUGGAAGUAAUAGAAAAAACCAUUGAAGCUUUUCAUUAAUUUCUCCUUGCAUUUAUGGCGCUUCUGCAUGGUGACACUUUAUUGUAUGGAUGCUACUGAGAAUUGGCAUUAAUGUAACAUUUUAUCAUUUAAUAUUCUACACUCUGCUGUCUGACUGCUGUUUAGACUCCUGUAAUUAAACUGUCAUGUAAAAUCCCAUUGUCUGUUUAAAAAAUCUGCAGGUGAUCAAUUUAUUCAAUUUUAUGUCUUGUCAUUUUCCUGUGUUUUUGCAUUUAUGAGAUUUAAAAGAUAAGAUGCAUCCUCUUCUUAAUACAAGACUUUCUUGUAUUAUCCAGUAUGUUUAGGAUAUACAAUUAAAUGAGACUUGUUCUGUUAAGUGAAGUGCAUGAUGCCCAAAUUGGCUUUGUUGGAUUGUAUGCAGCAUACAUACAGACACCCCCAAUACACAUGUACUCGCCAAGCAUCCAGCACACUAACCACACUUGCACUUACAUAAUGUGCACAUGCGAACACCCCUCCCCACACUCACUGCAUAUACAGCAUAUCCGCCCCACUCAUACAGCACAUACAUUCACCAGGCACAGAUACACACAACUGGUGUGUUUCCAGCAUUCCCCACUCAAGUGCCUUAGAGCUUCUUCCGACACUUUGGGAUCGCCGUUUUUGGUGACUGGGACCAAAGUGCUAUUAAUUUCUGCACUAAAACAUGGGGUUUCCAUUACUGUGGCCUGAGCCAACAUGUGGUAUUAAAUCAUUCAUUCAUUCAUUCAUUUAGAUGUGUCACACAUAUUUGAAAUGGUCAACACAUUUAAGAAGUCUUUGUAGUAGUAAUGAAAUGGGUUGGGAAGGGAAGGGAAGAAUGUGCUCCCCUUUAACUAUUUUAUAUUUUUGUCAGUCCUUGGAAUCUUGAAGACCAAUGGAUGGGCAGAGAGAAAAAAUGGAUGUGAUCAUAGUGUUUACUAUUUUGGGGGAUAGUUUAGUAGCAUAAUUGGGGUGGACACUGACAGUGAACUCUUAUGUUUACUCAAAAACUGGGACUUAAUGGGACUUAGUCCUAGGUAAAAUGGCAGCCUAAAUACACAAUAUCAUAAAUUUGCUCGGGAUUAAAAUGAGUGUAAAUGAGAUGAAGCAUUGAGAAGAUGCCACCAAUUUCUUGUUUGUGGCUUGAACCAUAUUAUUUAGUACCUAAAUAAUCUUGCUGACUUUUAAAAGCAAAAACUGUCUUUCUAGCUAUUAUUUGGCCUUUCCAACCAGUCAACUGAGCUGACUAUCAUAACUUCAGUCGCUUAUUAUGUUACAUGUUUCAUCUUUGAUUUCACCCUGGUAUGAGUGAUAAUAGAUAGAAUAAUAUCUAGAAUUUUAUUUCUAGAGUCCCUGAUGGAUUGCCAGGUUCCCUUGAAAAUAAUGGUUGGGAUUGUGAGCAUUUUUGGAGAGCAGUGUAAUAUGGAUAAGCCUUAAUAUUACUUGUCUGUGUCAAUAUAGGUUACUUUCAAGAUCAGUCAUAAUAUUACAAUUUCUUUAAGCCACCUCAGAAUUGCACUGAAAGAAUGUGACAGUAUACUAAGAAAGCAAGAAAGAAAGAAAGAAAGAAAGAAAGAAAGAAAGAAAGAAAGAAAGAGAGAGCGAAACUAGAAGGCAGAUAAAAUACCCCCAAAUGUAUUCUACAAUCACAUGAGUGUUAAUUCCAUCUUAUAUGGUUGGGUGCAUUUAGCACUUUAAAUAUGAUGGUGUUCCUAAUGGCCACAUCAGUAUCUGUUAUGUAUUGAUGAUUGAAUUCAAACCUUAAUCCAAGCCUAAACCCCACCUCUGUCACUGUUGGGUAGCCUAGGCUGACUAUCCCUCAGCUGCAGGUGAUUAUCAGAGCGGAACUGAAUAAAGUAUCCCUAGUCUCUUCUAAUGAUUCUACAUUUGCUCUGUUCUGUUAAUUAAUAUGGCUUACUUGCAUCUGCACUGGCUGACCUUCCGCGGUUGAAUACGUUAUUGAAUGUGUAAAGCUGCAGCUCUGUACUCAGUUACAUAAUAAUUACAACAAUGAAAUCAACAGAACUUGCUUCUCAUUAGACAUGUAUAGAACUGUGCUGUAAGUGACAAAGUUGUACUUUUUAGUAUUUCUUGAAAGAGCUGUUCUGCUGGUAACAGCAUCAUGAGACUUGUGAUCAACUUAGUUUUUCCCCCUUUUUCUUCCUCCACCUCUCUUAGCCUACUAUGGGGAUGAAGGAGUUAACCACAGCAUUCUGGAAGCCGGCUGCUGAGCAGGAAAAAAAGAUGGAGAUGCAUACAUUCCAAAGGCUGGGAAAAACAGCACUGAGCUAUGCCACUGGCAAGCAGACUUCCCUGACAACAUGGAAUAUGCUUACAACAUAAUGGAAUUUCCAUCUGUCUAAUUUAUUUGUGUUACACUUUCAUUUUUUCCCUUUAGAAUAAAUAUUUUGUCUGAAAUUCUUUAA